CUCGGGUCUGGACGGAGGCGGGAAGCGGCUGUGCAGAGCGCAGGUGGCGGAUGCGCCCCGGGAGGCAGAGUUCUUCCUCUUGAAGACUCAAGAGUUUCAGUCUGAAAACUGGCCCAGACCCAGACAUUGGACAAGGGAUCAUGGCUGGAUAUUGGAGCGACUGCCCUCAGCCUCCUAAUCACCCAUCCUUGGAUUAUUUUGAUUGUACAGAUUGAGUAGCCCACUUGUUGGCUGCCCAUCUGUUUCACCCCGGGGAUCCCUUGUUCUGUGAACUGUCUCCAAAACUCACCAGGAACAGGCUGACCACAGGCAGGAAACACACCUAUAAGGUAUCCAUCACAGCUGACAGAAGGAGGGAACAAUAAAAGACCCUGGAGUCCAUCAUGCCUUAAGGGAAUCCCCUCCUUACUGUCCAUUUUCCCUAUAAAACUGCCUCAAGAUUCCGUAAUUUUUGAAGAUGGUUUUUUUGAGACAUUAGCCUGCCAUCUUUCCAAUUAUGCGGGCUAAUUGAAUGAAAACUUCCUUCCUCCAUCCCUGACUUGUCAUGAUUAAUUGGCUCAGAUCAUGGUGAGCAGAACGAGCCCACUGCUUGGUAUCAGACGUGGCGCUAGGGGAGGGAGAUGUUUGGCGCUGCCGACCCUCAAGGAAGACCUCGGCACCCCAGAGAGCUGUCCAGCUGGGGUGGCCCUUCCGAGUCGUGGUAAAUGCAGGCAAGGGGGCCUGGCCUUUAUACUCCCAUACUGAUCAGGCUGGAUGUGGGCUUCCAGGAGGGGGCCAUGAUCUUGGGCAAGGCAGUCUUCAGUGGAGGCAGUUCCAAAGAAGGUUGACAGCUGAGGGGGCCGUGGCUGACAGCAUUCCCAGCAGCUGGGGGAAUGUGUCCUUCAGUCCUGCUGAAGGGUCAUCCAGGAGGCACAUCACAGCUCCCGCUACACCACAGUACCAUUAUCUCAUGCAGCAAACUCAAGAC
Molecule: long non-coding RNA, 967 nt
Filed under: Equus caballus (horse)
Lineage: Eukaryota; Metazoa; Chordata; Mammalia; Perissodactyla; Equidae
Description: lncRNA (ENSECAG00000055555.1)
Source: RNAcentral